Molecule: ribosomal RNA, 440 nt
Filed under: uncultured bacterium
Lineage: Bacteria
Description: partial 16S ribosomal RNA
Rfam family: Bacterial small subunit ribosomal RNA
Source: RNAcentral
CCUACGGGUGGCAGCAGUGGGGAAUAUUGCACAAUGGGGGAAACCCUGAUGCAGCGACGCCGCGUGAGUGAAGAAGUAUCUCGGUACGUAAAGCUCUAUCAGCAGGGAAGAAAAUGACGGUACCUGACUAAGAAGCCCCGGCUGACUACGUGCCAGCAGCCGCUGUAAUACGUCGGGGGCAAGCGCGAUCCGGAUUUCCUGGGUGGAAAGGGAGCGUAGACGGCAGCACAAGUCUGGAGUGAAAUGCCGGGGCUUAACCCUGGAACUGCUUUGGAAACUGUGCGGCUGGAGUGCAGGAGGGGGAAGCGGCAUUCCUAGGGUAGCGGUGACAUGCGUAGAUAUUAGGAGGAACACCGGUGGCGAAGGCGGCUUACUGGACUGUAACUGACGUUGAGGCUCGAAAGCGUGGGGAGCAAACAGGAUUAGAUACCCUAGUAGUC